RNAcentral lists this ribosomal RNA (566 nucleotides) under Wenyingozyma ramenticola. RNAcentral's name for it is "eukaryotic LSU rRNA". It matches the Rfam family "Eukaryotic large subunit ribosomal RNA", at positions 62 to 648 of the family's 3401-position model. Lineage: Eukaryota; Fungi; Ascomycota; Pichiomycetes; Pichiales; Pichiaceae. The record is from RNAcentral.
AAACCAACAGGGAUUGCCUUAGUAGUGGCGAAUGAAGCGGCAAGAGCUCAAAUUUGAAAUCUGGUAUCUUCGAUGCCCGAGUUGUAAUUUGAAGAAAGCAAUCUUGGAAUUGGUCCUUGUCUAUGUUCCUUGGAACAGGACGUCACAGAGGGUGAGAAUCCCGUGCGACAAGGAAUUCUUUUCUAUAUAAGAUGUUUUCGAAGAGUCGAGUUGUUUGGGAAUGCAGCUCUAAGUGGGUGGUAAAUUCCAUCUAAAGCUAAAUAUUGGCGAGAGACCGAUAGCGAACAAGUACUGUGAAGGAAAGAUGAAAAGAACUUUGAAAAGAGAGUGAAAAAGUACGUGAAAUUGUUGAAAGGGAAGGGUAUUCGAUCAGACUGGUAUUUAGCUAUCAUUGCUCCUUGUGGGUGGUGCUCUAGCCUUUUACUGGGCCAACAUCAGUUUUGGUGGUAAGAUAAUCGCAGUUGAAUGUGGCUCUUUCGGGAGUGUUAUAGCUUCUGUUGAUGUUACCUAUCGGGACUGAGGUCUGCGGCUUUGCCUAGGAUGUUGGCGUAAUGAUCCAAUACCGC